Molecule: ribosomal RNA, 496 nt
Filed under: uncultured bacterium
Lineage: Bacteria
Description: partial 16S ribosomal RNA
Rfam family: Bacterial small subunit ribosomal RNA
Source: RNAcentral
GAUGAACGCUGGCGGCGUGCCUAAUACAUGCAAGUCGAGCGAACAGACGAGGAGCUUGCUCCUCUGACGUUAGCGGCGGACGGGUGAGUAACACGUGGAUAACCUACCUAUAAGACUGGGAUAACUUCGGGAAACCGGAGCUAAUACCGGAUAAUAUAUUGAACCGCAUGGUUCAAUAGUGAAAGACGGUUUUGCUGUCACUUAUAGAUGGAUCCGCGCCGCAUUAGCUAGUUGGUAAGGUAACGGCUUACCAAGGCAACGAUGCGUAGCCGACCUGAGAGGGUAAUCGGCCAAACGGGAACUGAGACACGGUCCAGACUCCUACGGGAGGCAGCAGUAGGGAAUCUUCCGCAAUGGGCGAAAGCCUGACGGAGCAACGCCGCGUGAGUGAUGAAGGUCUUCGGAUCGUAAACUCUGUUAUUAGGGAAGAACAAAUGUGUAAGUAACUAUGCACGUCUUGACGGUACCUAAUCAGAAAGCCACGGCUAACUACGUG